CUACGGGCCGCUGCAGUCGAGAAUCUUUCGCAAUGGGCGCAAGCCUGACGAUGCGACGCCGCGUGAGCGAUGAAGGUCUUCGGAUCGUAAAGCUCUGUCACUUGGGACGAACGUCCUGAAGGCGAAUAGCCUGAUGGGCUGACUGUACCAGGAGAGGAAGCCACGGCUAACUCCGUGCCAGCAGCCGCGGUAAUACGGAGGUGGCAAACGUUGUUCGGAUUCAUUGGGUGUAAAGGGUAUGUAGGUGGCCUAGUAAGUCGAGUGUGAAAUCCUUUGGCUUAACCAAAGAACUGCAUUCGAACUGCCUGGCUUGAGUUUGGGAGAGGAGAGUGGAAUUCCCGGUGUAAGAGUGAAAUCCGUAGAUAUCGGGAGGAACACCAGUGGCGAAAGCGACUCUCUGGCCCAAAACUGACACUGAAAUACGAAAGCUAGGGGAGCAAACAGGAUUAGAUACCCUUGUAGUC
RNAcentral lists this ribosomal RNA (464 nucleotides) under uncultured bacterium. Its description in RNAcentral is "partial 16S ribosomal RNA". It matches the Rfam family "Bacterial small subunit ribosomal RNA", at positions 339 to 795 of the family's 1533-position model. The record is from RNAcentral.